GAUGAAGAACGCAGCGAAAUGCGAUAAGUAAUGUGAAUUGCAGAAUUCAGUGAAUCAUCGAAUCUUUGAACGCACCUUGCGCCCUUUGGCUAUUCCGAAGGGCAUGCCUGUUUGAGUAUCAUGAACACCUCAACUCUUCACGGCUUGCCGUGAUGAGUUUGGACUUUGGGGGUCUUGCUGGCCUACGAGCCAGCUCCUCUCAAAUGUAUUAGCUUGCCGGUGUUUGGUGGCAUCACAGGUGUGAUAACUAUCUACGCUUGUGGUUUUCCACUAGGUAACCUUCAGCAAUGGAGGUUCACCGGAGCUCACAAAUGUCUCUCCUUGCCAAGGACAAAUUUUGACCAUUUGAUCUCAAAUCAGGUAGGACUACCCGCUGAACUUAAGCAUAUCAAUAAGCGGAGGA
This 403-nucleotide unclassified non-coding RNA is filed under the name soil metagenome. RNAcentral's name for it is "partial contains 5.8S ribosomal RNA, internal transcribed spacer 2, and large subunit ribosomal RNA". The stretch from base 1 to 121 matches the Rfam family "5.8S ribosomal RNA", at positions 35 to 154 of the family's 154-position model. The record is from RNAcentral.